CAUGCAAGUCGAACGAGCAAGAGAGAGCUUGCUUUCUCGAGCGAGUGGCGAACGGGUGAGUAACGCGUGAGGAACCUGCCUCAAAGAGGGGGACAACAGUUGGAAACGACUGCUAAUACCGCAUAAGCCCACGACCCGGCAUCGGGAAGAGGGAAAAGGAGCAAUCCGCUUUGAGAUGGCCUCGCGUCCGAUUAGCUAGUUGGUGAGGUAACGGCCCACCAAGGCGACGAUCGGUAGCCGGACUGAGAGGUUGAACGGCCACAUUGGGACUGAGACACGGCCCAGACUCCUACGGGAGGCAGCAGUGGGGAAUAUUGCACAAUGGGGGAAACCCUGAUGCAGCGACGCCGCGUGGAGGAAGAAGGUCUUCGGAUUGUAAACUCCUGUUGUUGAGGAAGAUAAUGACGGUACUCAACAAGGAAGUGACGGCUAACUACGUGCCAGCAGCCGCGGUAAAACGUAGGUCACGAGCGUUGUCCGGAAUUACUGGGUGUAAAGGGAGCGCAGGCGGGAAGACAAGUUGGAAGUGAAAUCCAUGGGCUCAACCCAUGAACUGCUUUCAAAACUGUUUUUCUUGAGUAGUGCAGAGGUAGGCGGAAUUCCCGGUGUAGCGGUGGAAUGCGUAGAUAUCGGGAGGAACACCAGUGGCGAAGGCGGCCUACUGGGCACCAACUGACGCUGAGGCUCGAAAGUGUGGGUAGCAAACAGGAUUAGAUACCCUGGUAGUCCACACCGUAAACGAUGAUUACUAGGUGUUGGAGGAUUGACCCCUUCAGUGCCGCAGUUAACACAAUAAGUAAUCC
RNAcentral lists this ribosomal RNA (803 nucleotides) under uncultured bacterium. Its description in RNAcentral is "bacterial SSU rRNA". It matches the Rfam family "Bacterial small subunit ribosomal RNA", at positions 54 to 870 of the family's 1533-position model. The record is from RNAcentral.